This 71-nucleotide transfer RNA is filed under the name Loxodonta africana (African savanna elephant). It matches the Rfam family "tRNA". From Rfam's summary of the family: Transfer RNA (tRNA) molecules are approximately 80 nucleotides in length. Lineage: Eukaryota; Metazoa; Chordata; Mammalia; Proboscidea; Elephantidae. The record is from Rfam by way of RNAcentral.
UCAGUGGUAGUUCAGUGGUAGAAUUCUUGUUUUCCAUGCAGGAGGCCCGGGUUUGAUUCCCAGCCAGUGCA